GACGACGCUGGCGGCGUGGAUUAGGCAUGCAAGUCGAACGGUAUCAUCCUUUCGGGGGUGAGAGAGUGGCGAACUGGUGAGUAACACGUAGGUUAUCUACCUCAAGACGGGACAACCCAGGGAAACUUGGGCUAAUACCGGAUGUGAGCAACUUUUAGUUGUUUGAAAGGUGGCGUAAGCUGUCGCUUGGGGAUGAGCCUGCGUCCUAUUAGUUAGUUGGUGAGGUAACGGCUCACCUAGGCAAUGAUAGGUAGGCGGCCUUAACGGGUGGUCGCCCACACUGGGAUUGAGAUACGGCCCAGACUCCUACGGGAGGCAGCAGUCGAGAAUAGUCUACAAUGGUCGGAAGACUGAUAGUGCGACGCCGCGUGAACGAUGAAUCCCUUCGGGGUGUAAAGUUCUUUUAUAUGUGAGCAGGCUUCUUAUAUUAACAGUAUGGGGAGAGAGAUAUUAGCAUAUGAAUAAGCAACGGCUAACUCCGUG
This 483-nucleotide ribosomal RNA is filed under the name uncultured bacterium. RNAcentral's name for it is "bacterial SSU rRNA". It matches the Rfam family "Bacterial small subunit ribosomal RNA", at positions 33 to 507 of the family's 1533-position model. The record is from RNAcentral.